UUGACUAAAAACGCUUCGGAGUAUAAAAGCCUAAGUUAGAUUUAGAAUCAGGGUAGUUGAAAUUAGGAGAGAGUUGAGAGUGGUAGUUGAAAUUAGGAGGGAGUUGAAAUUAGGAGAGAGUUGCAGUUGGGAGUUGGAGUUGAUUAUUUCGGUGUAAGUGCUACGAUGCACAGAUCCAACCAAAAUGCCACGGGGCAUAUCUUAGAAGCAUAGUGAAAACGUUAAAAUAAGAUUAAGAAAAAUCUUAGAAUAUAUAUUUUGGAGUGAAAA
This is a long non-coding RNA of Culex quinquefasciatus (southern house mosquito), 270 nucleotides long. RefSeq lists it as uncharacterized. The transcript has 2 exons. The record is from RefSeq and is a predicted model, not a curated record. NCBI's taxonomy places the organism in Eukaryota, Metazoa, Arthropoda, Insecta, Diptera, Culicidae.